GGGGGCGACCUGGUUUCGACGUGGAUUACGAAACCCGAGGUGCAUGUCGAGGAUGUAGCUGGCCUCGUAAAAUACGCUGCAAACCUAUAGUUGCAAACGAUGACAACUACGCACUAGCUGCCUAAACCACAGACU
This 135-nucleotide transfer-messenger RNA is filed under the name Gammaproteobacteria bacterium. RNAcentral's name for it is "partial transfer-messenger RNA". It matches the Rfam family "transfer-messenger RNA", at positions 1 to 138 of the family's 374-position model. From Rfam's summary of the family: Bacterial tmRNA, also known as 10Sa RNA or SsrA, is named for its dual tRNA and mRNA-like properties. Its role is to liberate the mRNA from a stalled ribosome. To accomplish this part of the tmRNA is used as a reading frame that ends in a translation stop signal. Lineage: Bacteria; Pseudomonadati; Pseudomonadota; Gammaproteobacteria. The record is from RNAcentral.